RNAcentral lists this ribosomal RNA (1177 nucleotides) under Cellulomonas sp. YIM KMY49. Its description in RNAcentral is "bacterial SSU rRNA". It matches the Rfam family "Bacterial small subunit ribosomal RNA", at positions 28 to 1218 of the family's 1533-position model. The record is from RNAcentral. Lineage: Bacteria; Bacillati; Actinomycetota; Actinomycetes; Micrococcales; Cellulomonadaceae.
GACGAACGCUGGCGGCGUGCUUAACACAUGCAAGUCGAACGGUGAAGCCCAGCUUGCUGGGUGGAUCAGUGGCGAACGGGUGAGUAACACGUGAGUAACCUGCCCCUGACUCUGGGAUAAGCCUUGGAAACGAGGUCUAAUACCGGAUACGAGACGCUCGGGCAUCCGAAGUGUCUGGAAAGAUUUAUCGGUCAGGGAUGGACUCGCGGCCUAUCAGCUUGUUGGUGGGGUAGUGGCCUACCAAGGCGACGACGGGUAGCCGGCCUGAGAGGGCGACCGGCCACACUGGGACUGAGACACGGCCCAGACUCCUACGGGAGGCAGCAGUGGGGAAUAUUGCACAAUGGGCGCAAGCCUGAUGCAGCGACGCCGCGUGAGGGAUGAAGGCCUUCGGGUUGUAAACCUCUUUCAGCAGGGAAGAAGCGCAAGUGACGGUACCUGCAGAAGAAGCGCCGGCUAACUACGUGCCAGCAGCCGCGGUAAUACGUAGGGCGCAAGCGUUGUCCGGAAUUAUUGGGCGUAAAGAGCUCGUAGGCGGUUUGUCGCGUCUGCUGUGAAAACUCGAGGCUCAACCUCGGGCUUGCAGUGGGUACGGGCAGACUAGAGUGCGGUAGGGGUGACUGGAAUUCCUGGUGUAGCGGUGGAAUGCGCAGAUAUCAGGAGGAACACCGAUGGCGAAGGCAGGUCACUGGGCCGCAACUGACGCUGAGGAGCGAAAGCAUGGGGAGCGAACAGGAUUAGAUACCCUGGUAGUCCAUGCCGUAAACGUUGGGCACUAGGUGUGGGGCUCAUUCCACGAGUUCCGUGCCGCAGCAAACGCAUUAAGUGCCCCGCCUGGGGAGUACGGCCGCAAGGCUAAAACUCAAAGAAAUUGACGGGGGCCCGCACAAGCGGCGGAGCAUGCGGAUUAAUUCGAUGCAACGCGAAGAACCUUACCAAGGCUUGACAUACACCGGAAACUUCCAGAGAUGGUUGCCCCGCAAGGUCGGUGUACAGGUGGUGCAUGGUUGUCGUCAGCUCGUGUCGUGAGAUGUUGGGUUAAGUCCCGCAACGAGCGCAACCCUCGUCCUAUGUUGCCAGCGGAUUAUGCCGGGGACUCAUAGGAGACUGCCGGGGUCAACUCGGAGGAAGGUGGGGAUGACGUCAAAUCAUCAUGCCCCUUAUGUCUUGGGCUUCA